AUGGUGUUCAGCAAGGUGGAAGUGAACCUGAAAAGGCUGCUUGAGGCGGCCCCCCGCCAGCAGAAUCAGGCUAAGCUUGUCCAUUACAUAACCACAGCCAGGGAGCUGUUGGAGCAGCUUGGAGCUGAAAUUACACCAGAAGGAAUAUCAAGUGUUUCAAAAGCUAAGCUCAGUGAGUAUUCAGAAAAGAUUGAAGCAGUAGCUGCCACGCUUGCUUCUCUAGUGCCAGAAAAUGAAAAUCUGGUUGAUGAGAGUAGAGAGCAAGACAACUCUUAUGAAAGAGAAAAGGUUGGGAGUCCAAUAUCCUUAUCAUCAGGAUUGCGGAGGAGAUCGACGGCUCAGAUGGAGGUUGGACCAAGCAGUCAUGAAAGAAAAGAAAAAGACACUGGAGCACCUAUUAAAUUGGAUGCAGAAGCUCAGGCUCAUAUUGAGAAGCAUAGGAAGCUGCAAGAAGAUCUAACUGACGAAAUGGUUGACUUAGCACGCCAGCUGAAGGAGAGUAGCCUUUUAAUGAACCAAUCCGUGCAAGAUACAGAGAAGAUCCUCGAUUCCACCGAGAGAGCCGUGGAGCAUAGCCUGGCGAGCACCGGCCGUGCAACGGCGCGAGCCUCGGAGGUCUACUCGCUGGCCUCCAAGACAACCUGCUUCCAGUGGUUGCUCAUCUUUCUGAUGACCUGCAUGUUUGUCAUGGUGGUUCUGCUCAUACGGAUCACCUGA
This 717-nucleotide ribosomal RNA is filed under the name Triticum aestivum (bread wheat). Its description in RNAcentral is "partial small subunit ribosomal RNA". Lineage: Eukaryota; Viridiplantae; Streptophyta; Magnoliopsida; Poales; Poaceae. The record is from RNAcentral.